CCCAGCUGUAGGUAAUUGCCAGGGUUGCCUUGUAUCUAGGCAAGUGUUACAUUGCUGGGAGAAAAGCAGCCAAUAGUUGGUGGACAUU
Molecule: small nucleolar RNA, 88 nt
Filed under: Ochotona princeps (American pika)
Lineage: Eukaryota; Metazoa; Chordata; Mammalia; Lagomorpha; Ochotonidae
Description: Small nucleolar RNA SNORA74 (ENSOPRG00000024156.1)
Source: RNAcentral